Molecule: ribosomal RNA, 277 nt
Filed under: uncultured Staphylococcus sp.
Lineage: Bacteria; Bacillati; Bacillota; Bacilli; Caryophanales; Staphylococcaceae
Description: partial 16S ribosomal RNA
Rfam family: Bacterial small subunit ribosomal RNA
Source: RNAcentral
CCUUGUACGUAGCGGCGACGGGUGAGUAACACGUGGGUAACCUACCUAUAAGACUGGGAUAACUUCGGGAAACCGGAGCUAAUACCGGAUAAUAUUUCGAACCGCAUGGUUCGAUAGUGAAAGAUGGUUUUGCUAUCACUUAUAGAUGGACCCGCGCCGUAUUAGCUAGUUGGUAAGGUAACGGCUUACCAAGGCGACGAUACGUGGCCGACCUGAGAGGGUGAUCGGCCACACUGGAACUGAGACACGGUCCAGACUCCUACGGGAGGCAGCAGCC